RNAcentral lists this small nuclear RNA (118 nucleotides) under Lepeophtheirus salmonis (salmon louse). RNAcentral's name for it is "U5 spliceosomal RNA". It matches the Rfam family "U5 spliceosomal RNA". From Rfam's summary of the family: U5 RNA is a component of both types of known spliceosome. The precise function of this molecule is unknown, though it is known that the 5' loop is required for splice site selection and p220 binding, and that both the 3' stem-loop and the Sm site are important for Sm protein binding and cap methylation. Lineage: Eukaryota; Metazoa; Arthropoda; Copepoda; Siphonostomatoida; Caligidae. The record is from RNAcentral.
UUUCUCUUGUUUUCAUACAUCACAAAUAAAUCUUUUGCCUUACACUAAAUAUUUCCAUAUGUGAGAACCACCUGAAGGUGAUUUGAGGUAUUUCUCUGGUAAAGGGAACCUUUCCAUG